Molecule: long non-coding RNA, 222 nt
Filed under: Mytilus galloprovincialis (Mediterranean mussel)
Lineage: Eukaryota; Metazoa; Mollusca; Bivalvia; Mytilida; Mytilidae
Source: RNAcentral
UUGCUUGGUUUGUUUGUUUAAACGUUAACUCAAACAUUGUAAUUAAGAUUGACAUCUGCAAACAAUAUAGACAGGCAUAGUUAAACCGGUAUAUAUAUUAUUUAAAUUUGAUUGAAUGAAAUCACAAUUACAAUUGUCCAAUAUACAAACAAAGGAAUCAAGCUUACCAAAGUCUUACUCUACAUGCAUUAGGGAAUAAGCUCUAAAAUAAAAUAUUUGCAC